GGAAUUUUCCGCAAUGGGGGAAACCCUGACAGAGCAAUACCGCGUGAGGGAUGACUGCCUACGGGUUGUAAACCUCUUUUCUCAAGGAAGAAGAUCUGACGGUACUUGAUGAAUAAGCCACGGCUAAUUCCGUGCCAGCAGCCGCGGUAAUACGGGAGUGGCAAGCGUUAUCCGGAAUUAUUGGGCGUAAAGCGUCCGCAGGCGGUCUGUCAAGUCUGCUGUUAAAGCGUGGAGCUUAACUCCAUUUCGGCAGUGGAAACUGACAGACUAGAGUGUGGUAGGGGCAGAGGGAAUUCCCGGUGUAGCGGUGAAAUGCGUAGAUAUCGGGAAGAACACCAGUGGCGAAGGCGCUCUGCUGGGCCAUAACUGACGCUCAUGGACGAAAGCCAGGGGAGCGAAAGGGAUUAGAUACCCCUGUAGUC
This 422-nucleotide ribosomal RNA is filed under the name uncultured cyanobacterium. RNAcentral describes it as "bacterial SSU rRNA". It matches the Rfam family "Bacterial small subunit ribosomal RNA", at positions 358 to 795 of the family's 1533-position model. The record is from RNAcentral. Lineage: Bacteria; Bacillati; Cyanobacteriota.